This 2904-nucleotide ribosomal RNA is filed under the name Escherichia coli. Its description in RNAcentral is "23S ribosomal RNA". It matches the Rfam family "Bacterial large subunit ribosomal RNA". Lineage: Bacteria; Pseudomonadati; Pseudomonadota; Gammaproteobacteria; Enterobacterales; Enterobacteriaceae. RNAcentral also lists the same sequence under 2 other names. The record is from RNAcentral.
GGUUAAGCGACUAAGCGUACACGGUGGAUGCCCUGGCAGUCAGAGGCGAUGAAGGACGUGCUAAUCUGCGAUAAGCGUCGGUGAGGUGAUAUGAACCGUUAUAACCGGCGAUUUCCGAAUGGGGAAACCCAGUGUGAUUCGUCACACUAUCAUUAACUGAAUCCAUAGGUUAAUGAGGCGAACCGGGGGAACUGAAACAUCUAAGUACCCCGAGGAAAAGAAAUCAACCGAGAUUCCCCCAGUAGCGGCGAGCGAACGGGGAGGAGCCCAGAGCCUGAAUCAGUGUGUGUGUUAGUGGAAGCGUCUGGAAAGGCGCGCGAUACAGGGUGACAGCCCCGUACACAAAAAUGCACAUAUUGUGAGCUCGAUGAGUAGGGCGGGACACGUGGUAUCCUGUCUGAAUAUGGGGGGACCAUCCUCCAAGGCUAAAUACUCCUGACUGACCGAUAGUGAACCAGUACCGUGAGGGAAAGGCGAAAAGAACCCCGGCGAGGGGAGUGAAAAAGAACCUGAAACCGUGUACGUACAAGCAGUGGGAGCCUCUUAAUGGGGUGACUGCGUACCUUUUGUAUAAUGGGUCAGCGACUUAUAUUCUGUAGCAAGGUUAACCGAAUAGGGGAGCCGAAGGGAAACCGAGUCUUAACUGGGCGUUAAGUUGCAGGGUAUAGACCCGAAACCCGGUGAUCUAGCCAUGGGCAGGUUGAAGGUUGGGUAACACUAACUGGAGGACCGAACCGACUAAUGUUGAAAAAUUAGCGGAUGACUUGUGGCUGGGGGUGAAAGGCCAAUCAAACCGGGAGAUAGCUGGUUCUCCCCGAAAGCUAUUUAGGUAGCGCCUCGUGAAUUCAUCUCCGGGGGUAGAGCACUGUUUCGGCAAGGGGGUCAUCCCGACUUACCAACCCGAUGCAAACUGCGAAUACCGGAGAAUGUUAUCACGGGAGACACACGGCGGGUGCUAACGUCCGUCGUGAAGAGGGAAACAACCCAGACCGCCAGCUAAGGUCCCAAAGUCAUGGUUAAGUGGGAAACGAUGUGGGAAGGCCCAGACAGCCAGGAUGUUGGCUUAGAAGCAGCCAUCAUUUAAAGAAAGCGUAAUAGCUCACUGGUCGAGUCGGCCUGCGCGGAAGAUGUAACGGGGCUAAACCAUGCACCGAAGCUGCGGCAGCGACACUAUGUGUUGUUGGGUAGGGGAGCGUUCUGUAAGCCUGUGAAGGUGGCCUGUGAGGGUUGCUGGAGGUAUCAGAAGUGCGAAUGCUGACAUAAGUAACGAUAAAGCGGGUGAAAAGCCCGCUCGCCGGAAGACCAAGGGUUCCUGUCCAACGUUAAUCGGGGCAGGGUGAGUCGACCCCUAAGGCGAGGCCGAAAGGCGUAGUCGAUGGGAAACAGGUUAAUAUUCCUGUACUUGGUGUUACUGCGAAGGGGGGACGGAGAAGGCUAUGUUGGCCGGGCGACGGUUGUCCCGGUUUAAGCGUGUAGGCUGGUUUUCCAGGCAAAUCCGGAAAAUCAAGGCUGAGGCGUGAUGACGAGGCACUACGGUGCUGAAGCGACAAAUGCCCUGCUUCCAGGAAAAGCCUCUAAGCAUCAGGUAACAUCAAAUCGUACCCCAAACCGACACAGGUGGUCAGGUAGAGAAUACCAAGGCGCUUGAGAGAACUCGGGUGAAGGAACUAGGCAAAAUGGUGCCGUAACUUCGGGAGAAGGCACGCUGAUAUGUAGGUGAAGCGACUUGCUCGUGGAGCUGAAAUCAGUCGAAGAUACCAGCUGGCUGCAACUGUUUAUUAAAAACACAGCACUGUGCAAACACGAAAGUGGACGUAUACGGUGUGACGCCUGCCCGGUGCCGGAAGGUUAAUUGAUGGGGUUAGCGGUAACGCGAAGCUCUUGAUCGAAGCCCCGGUAAACGGCGGCCGUAACUAUAACGGUCCUAAGGUAGCGAAAUUCCUUGUCGGGUAAGUUCCGACCUGCACGAAUGGCGUAAUGAUGGCCAGGCUGUCUCCACCCGAGACUCAGUGAAAUUGAACUCGCUGUGAAGAUGCAGUGUACCCGCGGCAAGACGGAAAGACCCCGUGAACCUUUACUAUAGCUUGACACUGAACAUUGAGCCUUGAUGUGUAGGAUAGGUGGGAGGCUUUGAAGUGUGGACGCCAGUCUGCAUGGAGCCGACCUUGAAAUACCACCCUUUAAUGUUUGAUGUUCUAACGUGGGCCCCUUACCGGGGUUGCGGACAGUGUCUGGUGGGUAGUUUGACUGGGGCGGUCUCCUCCUAAAGAGUAACGGAGGAGCACGAAGGUUGGCUAAUCCUGGUCGGACAUCAGGAGGUUAGUGCAAUGGCAUAAGCCAGCUUGACUGCGAGCGUGACGGCGCGAGCAGGUGCGAAAGCAGGUCAUAGUGAUCCGGUGGUUCUGAAUGGAAGGGCCAUCGCUCAACGGAUAAAAGGUACUCCGGGGAUAACAGGCUGAUACCGCCCAAGAGUUCAUAUCGACGGCGGUGUUUGGCACCUCGAUGUCGGCUCAUCACAUCCUGGGGCUGAAGUAGGUCCCAAGGGUAUGGCUGUUCGCCAUUUAAAGUGGUACGCGAGCUGGGUUUAGAACGUCGUGAGACAGUUCGGUCCCUAUCUGCCGUGGGCGCUGGAGAACUGAGGGGGGCUGCUCCUAGUACGAGAGGACCGGAGUGGACGCAUCACUGGUGUUCGGGUUGUCAUGCCAAUGGCACUGCCCGGUAGCUAAAUGCGGAAGAGAUAAGUGCUGAAAGCAUCUAAGCACGAAACUUGCCCCGAGAUGAGUUCUCCCUGACUCCUUGAGAGUCCUGAAGGAACGUUGAAGACGACGACGUUGAUAGGCCGGGUGUGUAAGCGCAGCGAUGCGUUGAGCUAACCGGUACUAAUGAACCGUGAGGCUUAACCUU